Molecule: unclassified non-coding RNA, 268 nt
Filed under: Ascomycota sp.
Lineage: Eukaryota; Fungi; Ascomycota
Description: partial contains small subunit ribosomal RNA, internal transcribed spacer 1, and 5.8S ribosomal RNA
Rfam family: Eukaryotic small subunit ribosomal RNA (bases 1-47)
Source: RNAcentral
AAAGUCGUAACAAGGUUUCCGUAGGUGAACCUGCGGAAGGAUCAUUAAAGAGAUAGGGUCUUCUAGGCCCGACCUCCCAACCCUUUGUUUACUUAACCAUCGUUGCUUCGGCGAGCCCGUCUUUACUGACCGCCGGGAGACUCUAAACCGUCUUCUGGUCCGCGCUCGUCGGUGGCCAACACUUUAAAUUCUUUAACUAAACGUGUCUAUAUCUGAGUACUAUAUUUUAAUAAAAACAAAACUUUCAACAACGGAUCUCUUGGUUCUG